GCUCCAUUGGCGCAAUUGGUUAGCGCGCGGUACUUAUAAUGCCGAGGUUGUGAGUUCGAGCCUCACAUGGAGCA
Tetranychus urticae (two-spotted spider mite) is the source of this 74-nucleotide non-coding RNA. The record is from the annotation of a RefSeq genome assembly. NCBI's taxonomy places the organism in Eukaryota, Metazoa, Arthropoda, Arachnida, Trombidiformes, Tetranychidae.